RNAcentral lists this ribosomal RNA (253 nucleotides) under uncultured bacterium. RNAcentral describes it as "partial 16S ribosomal RNA". It matches the Rfam family "Bacterial small subunit ribosomal RNA", at positions 524 to 776 of the family's 1533-position model. The record is from RNAcentral.
UACAGAGGUCUCAAGCGUUGUUCGGAUUCAUUGGGCGUAAAGGGCUCGUAGGCGGCCAACUAAGUCGGAUGUGAAAUCCCCAGGCUUAACCUGGGAUUUGCAUCCGAUACUGGAUGGCUUGAAUCCGGGAGAGGGAUGCGGAAUUCCAGGUGUAGCGGUGAAAUGCGUAGAUAUCUGGAGGAACACCGGUGGCGAAGGCGGCAUCCUGGACCAACACUGACGCUGAUGAGCGAAAGCCAGGGGAGCAAACGGG